AGCGGACCGACGGGAGCUUGCUCCCUUAGGUCAGCGGCGGACGGGUGAGUAACACGUGGGUAACCUGCCUGUAAGACUGGGAUAACUCCGGGAAACCGGGGCUAAUACCGGAUGCUUGAUUGAACCGCAUGGUUCAAUCAUAAAAGGUGGCUUUUAGCUACCACUUGCAGAUGGACCCGCGGCGCAUUAGCUAGUUGGUGAGGUAACGGCUCACCAAGGCGACGAUGCGUAGCCGACCUGAGAGGGUGAUCGGCCACACUGGGACUGAGACACGGCCCAGACUCCUACGGGAGGCAGCAGUAGGGAAUCUUCCGCAAUGGACGAAAGUCUGACGGAGCAACGCCGCGUGAGUGAUGAAGGUUUUCGGAUCGUAAAACUCUGUUGUUAGGGAAGAACAAGUACCGUUCGAAUAGGGCGGUACCUUGACGGUACCUAACCAGAAAGCCACGGCUAACUACGUGCCAGCAGCCGCGGUAAUACGUAGGUGGCAAGCGUUGUCCGGAAUUAUUGGGCGUAAAGCGCGCGCAGGCGGUUUCUUAAGUCUGAUGUGAAAGCCCCCGGCUCAACCGGGGAGGGUCAUUGGAAACUGGGGAACUUGAGUGCAGAAGAGGAGAGUGGAAUUCCACGUGUAGCGGUGAAAUGCGUAGAGAUGUGGAGGAACACCAGUGGCGAAGGCGACUCUCUG
This 685-nucleotide ribosomal RNA is filed under the name uncultured Bacilli bacterium. RNAcentral's name for it is "bacterial SSU rRNA". It matches the Rfam family "Bacterial small subunit ribosomal RNA", at positions 65 to 731 of the family's 1533-position model. Lineage: Bacteria; Bacillati; Bacillota; Bacilli. The record is from RNAcentral.